Molecule: non-coding RNA, 222 nt
Organism: Pelobates cultripes (western spadefoot toad)
Lineage: Eukaryota; Metazoa; Chordata; Amphibia; Anura; Pelobatidae
Source: the annotation of a GenBank genome assembly
GUUACACGAAUAGGCUCCAUGGCAUGGCUAUCUGGGGUAAUGCUGUUCAUACGGUUAAACUACCGAAUGAACAGGCAUCCGGUUAAAUGACCGAAUGCAGAAGCAAGGAGGCUGACGGCUCAGCGGUGUUCGCGCAAAUAAGUGUCCGUUUCCAGUUCCAUAGUUUGGGCGCCGAACACCGCUGGCAGUUCAGGACUUUAAAAUGGCCGCCGCCACGUGUUC